Molecule: ribosomal RNA, 264 nt
Filed under: uncultured Ascomycota
Lineage: Eukaryota; Fungi; Ascomycota
Description: partial 18S ribosomal RNA
Rfam family: Eukaryotic small subunit ribosomal RNA
Source: RNAcentral
UUAAAAAGCUCGUAGUUGAACCUUGGGCCUAGCCGGCCGGUCCGCCUCACCGCGUGCACUGGCUCGGCUGGGCCUUUCCUUCUGGAGAACCGCAUGCCCUUCACUGGGUGUGUCGGGGAACCAGGACUUUUACUCUGAACAAAUUAGAUCGCUUAAAGAAGGCCUAUGCUCGAAUACAUUAGCAUGGAAUAAUAGAAUAGGACGUGUGGUUCUAUUUUGUUGGUUUCUAGGACCGCCGUAAUGAUUAAUAGGGACAGUCGGGGG